AAUGAACGUUGGCGGCAUGGAUUAGGCAUGCAAGUCGGGGGAAUCCCAGCAAUGGGGGAACCGGCGUAAGGGGCAGUAAGGCAUGGGUACCUACCUUGGGGUUCGGGAUAGCCAUCAGAGAUGGUGGGUAAUACCGGAUGACGUCGUGAGACCAAAGAUUUAUCGCCCCUAGAGGGGCCCAUGUGAUAUUAGCUAGUUGGUGGGGUAACGGCCCACCAAGGCGAAGUUGUCUAGCGGGUGUGGGAGCACGACCCGCGCCACUCGCACUGAGACACUGGCGAGACACCUACGGGUGGCUGCAGUCGAGGAUCUUCGGCAAUGAGCGCAAGCUUGACCGAGCGAUGCCGCGUGAGCGAUGAAGGCCUUCGGGUUGUAAAGCUCUUUAGUGGGGGAGAAAAGCCGCAAGGUGUGAUCUAUCCCAAAAAUAAGCACGGGCUAAGUUCGUGCCAGCCGCCGCCGUAA
This 462-nucleotide ribosomal RNA is filed under the name uncultured bacterium. RNAcentral's name for it is "partial 16S ribosomal RNA". It matches the Rfam family "Bacterial small subunit ribosomal RNA", at positions 29 to 523 of the family's 1533-position model. The record is from RNAcentral.